RNAcentral lists this small RNA (154 nucleotides) under Arthrobacter sp. RNAcentral's name for it is "c-di-AMP sequence". It matches the Rfam family "c-di-AMP riboswitch aptamer (ydaO/yuaA leader)". From Rfam's summary of the family: This family represents a conserved RNA structure found upstream of the ydaO and yuaA genes in Bacillus subtilis and related genes in other bacteria. The ydaO/yuaA element is thought to act as a genetic "off" switch for the ydaO and yuaA genes in its native state. RNAcentral also lists the same sequence under 1 other name. Lineage: Bacteria; Bacillati; Actinomycetota; Actinomycetes; Micrococcales; Micrococcaceae. The record is from RNAcentral.
CGGAGUUCCGUUCUGAUUUCGAGGCAGAGACGGGGGACCCAGAGUCUCCGGGCCAGGCAUUGCGCCGGUCCUUGGGGUGAAGCCGCAGCUACACGCGCGGCCGGAUGACCUCAUCCGAACCCGACAGCUAACUCCGCAGGCGCUGAGAGGUAAU